AGAAUCAACGCUGGCGGCGUGCCUCAGACAUGCAAGUCGAACGCGAAAGUCCCCCUUCGGGGGACAAGUAGAGUGGCGCACGGGUGAGUAACACGUAGGUAAUCUACCUUUGGAUGGGGAAUAAUAACCGGAAACGGUUGCUAAUACCGCAUGAUGCAGCGGCACCUAAUGGUGACAGUUGUUAAAGCGGGGGAUCGAAAGACCUCGCGUCUGAAGAGGAGCCUGCGGCGGAUUAGCUAGUUGGUAAGGUAAUGGCUUACCAAGGCUACGAUCC
This 274-nucleotide ribosomal RNA is filed under the name uncultured soil bacterium. Its description in RNAcentral is "partial 16S ribosomal RNA". It matches the Rfam family "Bacterial small subunit ribosomal RNA", at positions 26 to 282 of the family's 1533-position model. The record is from RNAcentral.